GCCAGGCGUGGUGGUGCACACCUGUAAUCCCAGCAGCUGGGGAGGCUGAGGCAGGAGGCCAGCCUCAGCAAGACCUGUCUCUA
RNAcentral lists this small RNA (83 nucleotides) under Marmota monax (woodchuck). The record is from RNAcentral. Lineage: Eukaryota; Metazoa; Chordata; Mammalia; Rodentia; Sciuridae.